AAAAAAAAUUUACAUCUGAGACUGAUAUUGCAUAUGCGAAAGCUAGAUUUACUAAUGUAAAAUUUUUAAGACCGUUGUUUCCACACUGGAAAGAUAAUAUACUGUCAAUUCAAUUGCCUCAAUAAUGUAACAUUAUGAGGAAACAGUUACUGCCCACUGAAUGGUCUAUCUAUUGACAAUUCACUUGCCUGCCUUCUAAGCAUAAAAUAUUUAUUACCCUACUGAAAGGUUUAAAUAUUGUUGAUAUUAUCAGCUCUGGAGUCAUCAAUACAAAGUUUAUGAGGAACCUCAGCACAAAACUGUUGAAAAGAUUCUAGCAAAUAACAGGUCCAUUGAUGGUCCACUGUAGAAAAAUGGAAAUAUUUUAAAACGUGCUUGGGAGUUGUUUUUAAAUGGUUUAAAUUAUAAAUAAAUAGAAAUGAGUGGUAGAUAAGUGGGUCGUACUUGUAGGUUCAACGAAAUAUGUGGAUAAAAUGUGGUUUGACCUAUUAUAAACAAUUUACAAACAACAGUCAACUUAGAAAGAUACAGAAAUUCAAGCGAAUAUAAUAGUUGACCCUAAGCUCACCUAGGCAACUCGUCGUGCACGCAGCAGCUACUGAAACAAAACAUAUCAGACAGCGAUUACCUGCGUCGUCAAUAAGAAAAAUAGUGUGAUCUCACCACAACAAUUAGAUGAUUAUGAGAAUGUCAAAUCAUGCCAAAAAAAACCUUGAGCAUGUACAUGUGCACUUCUGUGUGGCAAGAAGGUGACUUGUUAAAUACAAAAGUGAACCUUCAGCUUCUUGUCAAUCCUUGCCCAGCUGCAGGGGAAAAUCCAAAGCAAAUUCUGUCAGCAGUUCAUUCUACUGAGAUGCAUACAGUAUGGAUUCGUACCAAAAUUUGGAAAUAUAAAUUCUAGAUAUAUAAUAGUGAUAGUGACACUGGCAACAUAAGUUUUUUCUUCAUUUCCAUACUUGCUAACCCAGAGCAUUCUAUACUUACGUGGAGUAAAGAAUUAGCUGAGUGUCCAAAAAGCGAUUCUUGCUUUAGAGGCAACUCCCGAGUUCGAUUUUCCGAAUACCCAGUCAAAUUUAGGUGAUCAUCAAUCCUACCUUUAUUUUUUAUUUUUAAUUUUUUUUUUCCAACUAAAUUUUGUGUGAAAUAUCAUAAAUGAAAUCAACUCAAUCAUUAUGCUAGAAUCGUAAAACAAAUCUUCUCCAAGACACUGAGAUGGAUCAAACUCAGGCUAAAUAUUAAUAAGUACAAAUACACGUGAAGAAAAAGCAGCAGCAGCACUAGAAACAAUCCUUCAUAAAAUUACACAUUGCAUAGCUCGUUAUUUUUCCAUGACUCUGAUUGCAAUUUAAAAAUGGUAUUCACAACACAUAUGCAUGUAGCAACUUUCUAUCACAAAAAACUAAAAAACUGUCUAUUUAAUAUAGCUUCUGAGAUCAAGGCUCCCUUUCAUUUCCUACGAUCAAUAGAUAAAAUUCUUUUGUGAAAUGUGCUCCUAGAAAAAUAAUACUCAAAAAGCAGUCUAGAACAGCUAAGAUACAGACAAGCAAGAAAUGACAAGGUGUCAAGCUCCAAGGUUCAAAAUAAUUAACAGAAGGGCAUUUGGUCUAGUGGUAUGAUUCUCGCUUUGGGUGCGAGAGGUCCCGAGUUCGAUUCUCGGAAUGCCUCAAUCAAAUUAAGGUGUUUAAGAAUUCUUUUUUUUUUUUUUUCUUUCUUUCUUUCUUUCUACUAAAUUUCAGUGAAACAAGGAUGACAUACAAAGUCAGUCAUUAUGCCAGAGUGGUAAAAUAGAUCUUCUCCAAAAAAUUGAGAUUGAUUAAACUUGGGCAAGGUCAUAUCAUAUAUAUUAAAAAGUAUGAAUACAUUUCAAGAAAGCAAGGAUGAUAUACAAAGUCAACUCAGUCAUUAAGCCAGAGUGGUAAACAGAUCUUUUCCAAAAAAUUGAGAUUGAUCAAACUUGGGCAAGGUCAACAGAUUACGGCCGAGGUCAUAUCAUUCAUAUAUAUUAAAAAGUAUGAAUACAUUUCAAGAAAGCAUUAGCAGCAGCUGCAACACUAGAAAUAAUCCUUCACAAAACUACACCCAUUAAGCAUUUAUUCUAAUUUCUAUUACCUUCCACAGAUCAUUAUAUUUUCACGACUCAGACUGCAAUUUAAAACAGGUACUUCGCAACAACAUAUGCACGUAGGAACUUUUUAUCACCCAAAACUAGAGAACUAUCUUUUAAUAGUAGAUUCUGAGAUCAAAGCUCCCUUUGAUUGCCUAUGAUGAAUAGAUCAAAGAGCUUAGUGAAAUGUGCUUCUAGAAGCAUAAUAGUCGAAAGGCUGACUAGAACAGAUUUUGUUUUUAAUCUGAAACACUGCCAAAGCCAAGGAGACCCAGAGUGGUGGUGGUAGUGUUGGCAAUACCCCUACCUUAUCUAUUGACAAACAGAAAAAGCAAGAAAUUACAGGCUUCAAGGACAAAAUAAUUGACUAUAACUGGGCAUUAGUGGUAUGAUUCUUGCUUUGGUGCAAGAGAUCCAGAGUUCGAUUCUCAGAAUGCCCCAUUCAAAUUAAGGUGGUCAUUUAUCCUAAAUAUAUAUUCUUUUAUUAAUUUAUUUCAACCAUUUUUCAGCAAAACAAGUAUGAGAUAUCUGAUAGGCCACUGGUUCAAUUCACCUAUGCUAGGAAGAAAAAAGGGCAAAUCAAGCUAAAGGGGAAGAACUGGAAGCUCAUGUCACUGAUUCACGCAAGGAAAGAGGAGUUCAUGUUGCCAGAGAUUUAAUCGAGUUGAAUUUGUAAUUAUGUUGAAAUUGUUUUAACAAUUUGUGAGUUGAUUGAGGGAGGAAGUUGGGGGGAAAUUUCUUGAAUAAGUGUGGCGCAAUCUCACCAUAGAUAAAGGGAGAAGGGAAUUAUAUUAUUUCAUUCAUCCAUGCACUCUGAAAGAAAACUGGGAGUGAUCUCAGGCUUUUUCAAUGCCUGGUAUCAUAUCUCUUUUCCGUAUUACAUUGUUAAUUUCCUCUACAGUAUUAUUACUCUUAUCCAAUAUCAUAUCGUUUACAAUUCCACUAGUCACUGAAUUUCUGUUGAAGUACCUACAAUGACAAUUGCAUUCCUCAAUUCUGUAUUCCAGGUGGAAGCCUCCUAAUGUCAUAGGUGAAGUCAACUCAGUCAUUAUGCAAAAGUGGUAACAGAGGUCUUCUGUAAGACACUGAGAUGGAUCAAAAAGGGACAAGGUCAAUAUAUUUUGGCCAAGGCCCUACCAUAAAAUUCUAACACAAGUAUGCAUACAUCAAAGGGAAAGCAUUAGCAGCAGCAGCCCUAUGAACAAAGAGUUCUCCAAGACACUGAGAUGGAUCAAACAAGGACCAGAUUAACAGAUUGCGGCUGAGGCGAUAACAUAAAUAUUAACUAGUAUGAAUACAUGACAAGGGAAGCAGUAGCACCCAUACAAAACAUCCUGCAUAUUAUUACACCACAUCAAGUAUUAUCCCAAAGUCUAUUACCCUGCAUGGUGAAAUUUUUUUUCACGACUCAAAUUGCAAUUUUAAAAAGAAACUUCACAAGUCACAAACUCUAUGCACAUUUGCAUUUUUUAUUGUCCAAAACUAGAGAACUGUCUGUUAAUUAUAGCUUCUGGCAUCAAAGCUUCUUCUGAUCUAGAACAGUUUAGAAAAAGCAAGAAGCGAAUAACAAGCUCCAAGGAACACAAUUUUCUAAUACAACAACGCAUUUGGUGUAGUGGUAUGAUUCUCACUUCGGGUGCAGGAGGUCCUGAUUUCAAUUCUCGUAUGCCCCAUUUUACAAAUUAUCUGUCAGCCGUAGAACACCUUUUUAUUCCCUUGUCAACCUGGACAGGUCUCAUUGUAAAUAAAAGAAACAAGACUUAUAAACAGAGUAUCCAGCACAGGUAUCACAAAUGCUAAAGCUAGAUUUAAUUAUGCAACCUUGUUAACUAUUAAGACAUAGUUGUUCAAUUACCUCAAUUAUGUAACAUUAUGAGGAAACUGUACUGCACACAUUAAGGACUAAAUAUUGUUGAUUCAGUGACCUGACUCAAUAAUGUAACUGAAUCAGAAGAUAGUUAUUUAGCUGCCUAACUCAUUUUCAAAGCUCUGUCUAAUGCUGUUUCUGGUCGGUUGUAAAGCCAUCAGAUAUGAGAACGAGAACCUCUGCACAAGGGUAUUUUCUGGACACAAAUACAAUGUCCUUCUGGAAAGAUUCUACAAUACAUGGAUUCAGAUUAUAGAAAAUGAGAGAUUAUUACUUCAAGGUGUAGUCAGAAGCAGAAUAUUUAAAAUGUACAUUUUAGUAAUAUAUAACCACCAAAAUAACAGAGAUACUGACUGCUCACUGUGGAAAUAUUAAUUUUUGUGGAAGCAGAAUAUUUAAAAUGUAUAUUUUAAUAAUAGAUAACCACCAAAAUAACAGAGAUACUGACUGCUCACUGUGGAAAUUAAUUUUUGCACCAAAUAACUAAUCCUGAAACUGAAGCAUGAUUAGUAAAUGGUACUGGCACUGACCUGUGAAAUUUGCUGUGCUCAGUUGAAUAAUAGGAAAUUUACAAGUAGCAGAUCAAAAGAUUCAAAACAACGUAUGCCAGCCAGGGAGUACCUGCAUCUUCAAUAAGAAAAAUGACUCCACUUGUCUGGUUCGGUUACAUCAUAUCACUUUCGGAUCUCAAAGUGAACUUAAUCCUCAGUAAGUUAAUAAUUUCAAUAAUGUCAAAUCACAAAAAUAAGCCUUGAUUAUCCCUAUGGCUAUGCAAGGUCCUCAGUUUAAUUCCCAGUCAAAUUGAGGUGGUCAUGAAACCUACAAAUUAAUUUUUGUUUCUUUCAAUUAUAUUUGGGGGAGACAAAAAAUAAAAUAAAAUAAAAUAAUCAUAAAUCGACUCUAAUCAUUAGCCAGAGUGGUAAAACAUAUCUACGAGACACUGUGGCUCAAUCUCAGGUGGGCAACACAUAGUGACAGAUGCCAUGUCAUUAAUGUUAAAGUUUGGAUAUAUUGCAAGAAAAACAUUACCAGAAACACCACUAACAACAAAAAACAAUGGUAAUAAAAGUUGUAUAGGUAGAAUUAAUUAAGACUCCUAUUGUAAUCAAGUAAAUUUUGCACAGACUGCAUUAGAACUAUGAAGUUGUAGAUCCUGCAGAAAAUUAAAACCCAUUGAGCAUUACACCAAAGUGUAUUACUGUGCAUAGCUUAUUAUUUUUCCAAAAAUCAAAACAAAUAUAACAACUCAAACUUCAAUUUUUAAAUAGGGGACUUCUCAACUCAUAUGCAGGUAUCACUCUUUAUCAACCAAAACUAGAGCAUUCGCUGUAGCCUAUGUUAUCAAAGUGUCUUUAAUUGCCUAUGGGGAAUAGGUCAAAUGGUUUUGAGAAUAAGGUUCUUGAGGCAAAACCAUCAAAGGCUGGCUAGAACAGUUUAUAUAAAGAAAAGGAAAGAAGCGAUAACUGGUGGAAUUUGGUCUAGUGGUAUGACUCUAGCUCACGAUACAUUUAUAGUUUAAUUCCAGAAAUUCACCCUUGCUCGCCCCCAUCCCCAGCCUUGGUUUUGUAUCAGUUAUGCCUACAUAUGUUUUUGAACUAAUACAAAGAAAUUAAUAGAAUCGGUACAGGGAAAUAAUAUAACAAUAUAUAGUCAAAAUCAAUGAAUCUAAUAAGAGGUAUAGUAGUUGAUUAUUUAAACAAGCCAUUUGCUGAGGAUGUGGAGGUUGGCAUGCUGUGUCCAGUGGUAGAUAAAAAUUUGAAUUCAAUUCUGUAAAAUUGCAUCUUAUUGAGGUCUAAUCCGUUUAAAUCCCAUCUAUUAAGGUCCAUUGGUUAUUGGAUGAAUAAAUUUUCAUCAAAAAUCUAUUUACACCCAAUCCAUCUAAUUUGCCACUGCUAAUAACUAUACAAUCAAAUAAAAUAUCAUACUUCAAGCCAUUCCUUUAAAAAUUCAACAGAGAACCUAAAUGGUUUAACUAGUUGAAAAGAUGACAUGAAAUGGCAACUAAAAGAGAAUGAUGAAGAGAGAAAAAUUCAAAGCAAGUCGGACAUAGUUAUAACUUUGCCCCGUCUUUCAGAACAGGUGGCCUUCAGAAACUAAUAUAAUCAUUGCAAGAGCUAUCAAAGUGGGUGUUUACUUUGUUAAUUUUCAACAGAGGAAUAUUUUUGAAAAACUAUGGAUGAUUAACAUUUUAAGGGGAUGCUAGUUCUAAUGUGUCCUCAGUAUCUCUUGUUAGUUUAAAAACUCUGCAAAAUACUAUAAAGGUAGUUAUCAGCAUUUUCUUUUUCUUUUUUUUUUUUUUUUGUAAAAUUGGCAAGUAUAUGCUACAGCAGGUGUAAUCAGUAAAAUGCAAACUCAUAUAGAAAAAUAUCAUCACGACCCGACCAUUCGAUCCUGAGGAUGAAGUUUUCCCAUUUUGUGAUAGCAUCUCUAGGAUCCUCGGGCUAGAACACCGCCCUUUGGCUGGAGGUCUCCUUGAGUUUAUGCCUUGACCUUACUUCUAACAACACCUAACUCAUCAGGACUCUCCUACAAGAUAAGGCUUAUUCAAUUCUGAUAAGAUUAAGUCCUAAUAUACCUAUUUCAUCUCAUCUUGGUGGGAUUCUACCACCGGAGUUUCAUCUUUAUCCAAACAUCAAUUGUACGAUACCUAUCAAGUUACAACUCUUGAGCGUGGUAAAAUUCUUAAAGAUUCGAAUGACCUAAACCUACUAGUAGUAGGCUACCCAACACUAUAAAUACAUGAUCUCAAUUCAUCAUUAAGGCAUGUUUUUACAUAAUUUUUAGUUUGUAGCCUCACGCUCUAACUUAAGCAUCGGAGAGGCAACAAGACACACCUCAACGCCUUUGUUUCAGGUACUGGAGAUUCUAUUUGUGUGCAUCUCUCGCCGUCAAGCUCAGGGAUAUUCCAGGGUGCGAAUUUUUGGUAGCAUCACAACACAAACCAUCUGAGUGAAGUGCAAUGACCACUAAAAUCCCAUGGAUUGAAUUUGGGCAUUUGAUCUCAGAAGGCCCAAAUUUGUUUCGAAUUAGUUCAUUAACUUUUACAGUCCAGUGCUUAUUACUACUAAUACCCAGCAGAAAAAAACACUAGUUAAAAUAUGAUGAGCAUCUGGCAAACAAUUUUAAAACAGCACCCAGAAAGGGGGAAAUUAACAGUACUUAUACUAGUAGAAUUAGUCAUGCAUGUACUAAAUUAACGUGGAGCCUGCUCUACAAUUUUAAUUCAAUGAACUCACAAACGCCUGCUCAUUGCAACUCAGAUUACAGAUUUAAUUGGGAAGUACAGAUACGUGAAGCUAAAUUAGGGACAAUCAUAUCCUAUUUUCCUUAAGCAUCAAUAACCAUGUAAUAUGCUAUGUAGAUAAAGAAUAUUAUAUACUUAAGCAUCAAUCACCACAUAAUAUACGCCAAUAAAGAAAAUAAAGGGUCAAAAACCGCACAGAAUCAACCCCAAUAACAGCAGCAAAAACAUUGAAACGGCUAGAUUACUAAGAGAACUACUACAAACGCGAACGCGUCAAAAUCAGCAGUAUCACGUAGACUAAAUCGAAAUCGUGUGAAAGUUACACAGUGUAACAACUGAAAUGAACUGAUUUUGUAAGAUUGUACUGAAGUCUGGAGCUAUUUUGCAGCAAAUCGCACCUUCUUGAAGAAGCCUUUGCAAAUUUGAGUUUUCUCUAGCCGUGUUAUGGCGGUAAAAGAGGACGACAGGUAUGAAAAACAGAGGGAAUUUCGGAAUGUUUGGUACAGAGAAUGUUACGGGUCUCUGGCGAGGGGAAUGGGGAAUUACUAUUUACCGCUGUUUGAGAAUAUUAUUUGAAACUUAUUUUUCC
RNAcentral lists this long non-coding RNA (7804 nucleotides) under Olea europaea (common olive). RNAcentral's name for it is "long non-coding RNA (OEUR_LNC001327)". The stretch from base 1594 to 1665 matches the Rfam family "tRNA". The record is from RNAcentral. Lineage: Eukaryota; Viridiplantae; Streptophyta; Magnoliopsida; Lamiales; Oleaceae.